RNAcentral lists this ribosomal RNA (436 nucleotides) under uncultured bacterium. Its description in RNAcentral is "bacterial SSU rRNA". It matches the Rfam family "Bacterial small subunit ribosomal RNA", at positions 29 to 507 of the family's 1533-position model. The record is from RNAcentral.
AGCGAACGCUGGCGGCAUGCUUAACACAUGCAAGUCGCACGGUCAGCAAUGGCAGUGGCGGACGGGUGAGUAACACGUAGGGAAUCUAUCCUGGGGUGGGGGACAACAGCGGGGAAACUGCUGCUAAUACCGCAUGAUGCCUGAGGGCCAAAGACGAAAGUCGUUUGAGGAGGAGCCUGCGUCUGAUUAGGUAGUUGGUGGGGUAAAGGCCUACCAAGCCCUGCGAUCAGUAGCUGGUCUGAGAGGAUGAUCAGCCACAUUGGGACUGAGACACGGCCCAAACUCCUACGGGAGGCAGCAGUGGGGAAUAUUGGACAAUGGGCGCAAGCCUGAUCCAGCAAUGCCGCGUGGGUGAAGAAGGUCUUCGGAUUGUAAAGCCCUUUUGGCGGGGACGAUGAUGACGGUACCCGCAGAAUAAGCUCCGGCUAACUUCGUG